GGACCCGCACAAGCGGUGGAGCAUGUGGUUUAAUUCGAUGCAACGCGAAGAACCUUACCAAGAAUUGACAUGCUGCGAACGUUUACGAAAGUAAAAAGUCUAUUAACUUAGUUAAUAGCGCAGACACAGGUGGUGCAUGGUUGUCGUCAGCUCGUGCCGUGAGGUGUUAGGUUAAGUCCUGCAACGAGCGCAACCCUUGUCUUUAGUUAUAUUCUAGAGAGACUGCCGGUGAUAAACCGGAGGAAGGUGAGGAUGACGUCAAAUCAGCAUGCCCCUUACAUCUUGGGCGACUCACGUGCUACAAUGGUCGGGACAAAGAGAUGCUACCCUGCGAAGGCAAGCUAACCUCAAAAACCCGAUCUCAGUUCGGAUUGCAGGCUGCAACUCGCCUGCAUGAAGUUGGAAUCGCUAGUAAUCGCAGGU
Molecule: ribosomal RNA, 423 nt
Filed under: uncultured bacterium
Lineage: Bacteria
Description: bacterial SSU rRNA
Rfam family: Bacterial small subunit ribosomal RNA
Source: RNAcentral